GCUCCGGUAGCUCAACGGGCAGAGCGCCGUCCUUAUGAGGCGGAGGCUGUGAGUUCGAUCCUCACCCGGAGCA
This 73-nucleotide transfer RNA is filed under the name Marseillevirus LCMAC103. RNAcentral's name for it is "tRNA-Ile". It matches the Rfam family "tRNA". From Rfam's summary of the family: Transfer RNA (tRNA) molecules are approximately 80 nucleotides in length. Their secondary structure includes four short double-helical elements and three loops (D, anti-codon, and T loops). Lineage: Varidnaviria; Bamfordvirae; Nucleocytoviricota; Megaviricetes; Pimascovirales; Marseilleviridae. The record is from RNAcentral.